AAGUGGUGUAUAAGAGACAGGUGAAUCAUCGAAUCUUUGAACGCACAUUGCGCCCCUUGGUAUUCCAUGGGGCAUGCCUGUUCGAGCGUCAUUUGUACCCUCAAGCUUUGCUUGGUGUUGGGCGUCUUGUCGUAUUACGACUCGCCUUAAAUUCAUUGGCAGCCGGCACUUUGGCCUAGGAGCGCAGCACAUUUUGCGAUCGUAGCCCGUUGUACUGGCGUCCAUCAAGAACAUUUACCACGUUUGACCUCGGAUCAGGUAGGGAUACCCGCUGAACUUAAGCAUAUCAAUAAGCGGAGG
This 300-nucleotide unclassified non-coding RNA is filed under the name uncultured Setophoma. Its description in RNAcentral is "sequence contains 5.8S rRNA gene, ITS2". The stretch from base 1 to 91 matches the Rfam family "5.8S ribosomal RNA", at positions 60 to 154 of the family's 154-position model. Lineage: Eukaryota; Fungi; Ascomycota; Dothideomycetes; Pleosporales; Phaeosphaeriaceae. The record is from RNAcentral.